AUUGAACGCUGGCGGCAGGCUUAACACAUGCAAGUCGAACGAGCGGCGGACGGGUGAGUAAUGUCUGGGAAACUGCCUGAUGGAGGGGGACAACUACUGGAAACCGCAGCUAAUACCCCAAACCCUCGGCUGUGCCCAGACGGGAUUAGCUGGGAGGCGGGGUAAAGGCUCACCUAGGCGACGACCCCUAGCUGGUCUGGGAGGAUUCCCAGACACACUGGAACUAGUACACGGUCCAGACUCCUACGGGAGGCGGCAGUGGGGAAUAUGGCACAAUGGGCGCAAGCCUGAUGCAGCCAUGCCGCGUGUAUGAAGAAGGCCUUCGGGUUGUAAAGUACUUUCAGCGGGGAGGCGUUACCCGCAGAGGAAGCACCGGCUAACUCCGUGCCAGCAGCCGCGGUAAUAC
This 406-nucleotide ribosomal RNA is filed under the name uncultured bacterium. RNAcentral describes it as "partial 16S ribosomal RNA". It matches the Rfam family "Bacterial small subunit ribosomal RNA", at positions 29 to 526 of the family's 1533-position model. The record is from RNAcentral.